This is a long non-coding RNA of Salvia splendens (bonfire salvia), 1272 nucleotides long. RefSeq lists it as uncharacterized. The record is from RefSeq and is a predicted model, not a curated record. Lineage: Eukaryota; Viridiplantae; Streptophyta; Magnoliopsida; Lamiales; Lamiaceae. The transcript is spliced from 2 exons.
GCUAAGAUCAAGUGUAGUAUCUGUUCUUAUCAGUUUAAUAUCUGAUAUGUGGGCCAUUGGUCCACACGAUAUUAAAUUUAUUUUUUGAGGUGGAAAGUCCAUCAAGGUAGCUUGCUAUCUGGGCUUUCAAGAGUCGCCUAUGCGUUGCACUAUUGCACAGGCCUGGCUCACCCCACCAAUUUUAGUCUAAUCUUUUAUGAAACAAUGCCUAAUAGUUGUGAUGUUGUCUCGUUGAAUUUGUAUAAUUUUACUGGGGGAGAAGAAUGAAGGGCUAAAUAUUUAUAAACCAAUAUGGAUGGAUCUCCAAAAAGUGAGCACAUUGGCCCAAUAAUGGGACUACUAUUAAAUGAGAAAUGGGCCUGAUACAUUAAGAUGCCCAAAGAGAUGUUGCAUAUUUAAGGCAAAUUUUUUAUUUUUCAAAGGCCAUGUCAUGCACAACUUGAACUCGAGAUUGUUAGCAUCAAACAUUGAUCAUUCUAACACGCACACAACAUCAUCGACCUGUUUAGUGUGAUCACAACAAUCCCCUUAGUUAUAGUAUAUCUUAAUUUUGGCGUCCCAUUUUAUAUAUCUUCACUUUUUUUUUCUUCUUUGGUUUCCAAUUUUUUCUUGAAUUUUAAUUUCUAAUGUUUUAGUAUCAAUCUAUUCUUGAGAUUAUUAAUCCAUUUUCACAUCUAUUCUAGAAUUUCAUAAUUAAUAUCAUUACUAUGUUAACUCUUUGGAUGCUAUUGUAUGUGCAUAUUGUUGUUUUCCAUAUGUCCUUUUAUAAUUAAGAUCGGUUGUCGUCUCCUGCAAACACCUCCGGUGAGUCUGAUGUAACUUAAUACUCCUUCAUGUAUCUCUCAGCUAUAUGUUUACUGUUUAGUGAGAUUUUACAGUGAAGGACUCAAUCAUAAAAAGUAAAUGCUCUACUAUACACAGAUACACUUACAGAUUUUCCCGUUUGACAGAUGACAAUGAUUCACAGCACUGAAAAACCACAAUGAUAAGGUGUAAAAACUAAAAGUAAGACCUCCUUUUGCUGCAUCAAAGUCUUUUUAGACUCCCAAUAUUUCUCGCUCUUCUGAAGUCCAUGUUCGUCGUUUCUGGCAUGACGUUGAACUACAUGUUCCUGCUAUGUUAAUGGCAAUAGACUUAGUUUGAUUUGGAGUCAGUAAUAGGUUGCUGUAAAAUGCCAUUAAGUUAGGGAGCCGGAGCUUGCUUUUAUUAUAACAACUUUCAUGUAAACUCUGACUUCUUCAGGACAUGGAUGAUACCAUGUUGGGUUGUUUU